RNAcentral lists this ribosomal RNA (328 nucleotides) under uncultured eukaryote. RNAcentral's name for it is "partial 18S ribosomal RNA". It matches the Rfam family "Eukaryotic small subunit ribosomal RNA", at positions 1470 to 1796 of the family's 1831-position model. The record is from RNAcentral.
CCCUUAGAUGUCCUGGGCCGCACGCGCGCUACACUGAUGCAUGCAACGAGUUUAUAACCUUGGCCUGAAAGGUCUGGGUAAUCUUUUGAACGUGCAUCGUGAUAGGGAUAGAUUAUUGCAAUUGUUAAUCUUGAACGAGGAAUUCCUAGUAAACGCGAGUCAUCAGCUCGCAUUGAUUACGUCACUGCCCUUUGUACACACCGCCCGUCGCACCUACCGAUUGAAUGGUUCGGUGAAGAUCUCGGACUUCGAUAUUUAUUCUUUAUUGAGUUUAUAUUGUGGGAAGUUAUCUAAACCUCAUCAUUUAGAGGAAGGUGAAGUCGUAACA